This 839-nucleotide ribosomal RNA is filed under the name Shigella flexneri. RNAcentral describes it as "partial 23S ribosomal RNA". It matches the Rfam family "Bacterial large subunit ribosomal RNA", at positions 1 to 875 of the family's 2925-position model. Lineage: Bacteria; Pseudomonadati; Pseudomonadota; Gammaproteobacteria; Enterobacterales; Enterobacteriaceae. The record is from RNAcentral.
GUUGUGAGGUUAAGCGACUAAGCGUACACGGUGGAUGCCCUGGCAGUCAGAGGCGAUGAAGGACGUGCUAAUCUGCGAUAAGCGUCGGUAAGGUGAUAUGAACCGUUAUAACCGGCGAUUUCCGAAUGGGGAAACCCAGUGUGAUUCGUCACACUAUCAUUAACUGAAUCCAUAGGUUAAUGAGGCGAACCGGGGGAACUGAAACAUCUAAGUACCCCGAGGAAAAGAAAUCAACCGAGAUUCCCCCAGUAGCGGCGAGCGAACGGGGAGCAGCCCAGAGCCUGAAUCAGUGUGUGUGUUAGUGGAAGCGUCUGGAAAGGCGUGCGAUACAGGGUGACAGCCCCGUACACAAAAAUGCACAUACUGUGAGCUCGAUGAGUAGGGCGGGACACGUGGUAUCCUGUCUGAAUAUGGGGGGACCAUCCUCCAAGGCUAAAUACUCCUGACUGACCGAUAGUGAACCAGUACCGUGAGGGAAAGGCGAAAAGAACCCCGGCGAGGGGAGUGAAAAAGAACCUGAAACCGUGUACGUACAAGCAGUGGGAGCACGCUUAGGCGUGUGACUGCGUACCUUUUGUAUAAUGGGUCAGCGACUUAUAUUCUGUAGCAAGGUUAACCGAAUAGGGGAGCCGAAGGGAAACCGAGUCUUAACUGGGCGUUAAGUUGCAGGGUAUAGACCCGAAACCCGGUGAUCUAGCCAUGGGCAGGUUGAAGGUUGGGUAACACUAACUGGAGGACCGAACCGACUAAUGUUGAAAAAUUAGCGGAUGACUUGUGGCUGGGGGUGAAAGGCCAAUCAAACCGGGAGAUAGCUGGUUCUCCCCGAAAGCUAUUUAGGU